CACCGGCUAACUCCGUGCCAGCAGCCGCGGUAAUACGGAGGGUGCAAGCGUUAAUCGGAAUUACUGGGCGUAAAGGGUGCGUAGGUGGUUGAUUAAGUUAUCUGUGAAAUUCCUGGGCUUAACCUGGGACGGUCAGAUAAUACUGGUUGACUCGAGUAUGGGAGAGGGUAGUGGAAUUUCCGGUGUAGCGGUGAAAUGCGUAGAGAUCGGAAGGAACACCAGUGGCGAAGGCGGCUACCUGGCCUAAUACUGACACUGAGGCACGAAAGCGUGGGGAGCAAACAGGAU
Molecule: ribosomal RNA, 288 nt
Filed under: Legionella pneumophila subsp. pneumophila
Lineage: Bacteria; Pseudomonadati; Pseudomonadota; Gammaproteobacteria; Legionellales; Legionellaceae
Description: partial 16S ribosomal RNA
Rfam family: Bacterial small subunit ribosomal RNA
Source: RNAcentral